UAAACUUUAAGCGACACGAUUCAUUAGUUAGCGGACUUCCUGGAGUCUCCUCUGGUUGCCUGGCAACAGCUAAGAGCCAACGCACAUAAAACAGAAAAUUGUUGUUGUUUUUUUACGGAUUAAAGAUACGAAAUAAUAUAUGUGAAUUAGUAAACUUUAGAGGUGUUGGUAGGAGGAGUUCGCCGUGCCUGUUUCCCCCAUUUUAAGUCUUUGUGCUAAGCUAAGCUAACUGGCUGUAGCUUCAUACUGAGGGAGUUCCCGUCAAGCUCAAAGAGCAAACCUUGUAUUCCCCCCACUAAUGUAAGUCUGUUCAGUCUGAUUCUCCAAGUGAAAAGAACCAACUCUUUAAUGGCAGUAAAUGUUUUUAUGCACCGCUGCUGAUCUUUGUACCGGUGAAACGAACCUGCAUCUGUAACUUAAUCAAUACUGCUUUUAUAACAGUGAAUAACAGGUGAUCUGAAUUAACCUUCAGGCAGUGAAAUCGAAGGACUUUUGUCUCCUGCAAAAAGACGUGAUCAACCUCGUGUCCCGACAGCAUGAAAAGGAUCUGCAGAGUGUGUGUGGGCGGAGAGAGACGGAUUCUUUAUUAUCUGAUGUUGCUAUAUUGCUGCAGUUGUCCAUGUGUUUCAAUUUUCCUUUUUUUUAUUGCUUUUACACGAAGAAUUACCUCUUUCAUCAAGACGCAGACAAUAAAGGCGUUCUGAAGUGAUUACUUUAGACCUGGCACAGUUGGGGCUCAGUUUCAGCUGGAAAGUGUUUGAAUAUCUUGCAUGUUCUUGCUUGUGCUAGCUGUAUUAGCAUCUACAGACUCCUCGUCGCCUGCACAGGUAUCACCGCCUCACCAGAGAUGGAGGAGACAGCGAACACACAGCGCUGCCUGUGUCAGCACAGAACAGCAGAAAUCAGGGAGUUCAUUCAUGUGGACCAGGAUCCUGUUCAGAGUCUCAGGACAAUAGACGUGGCGGGACAUUAGCAGAUGAUGUACCGCUGUUAAUGAGGAUAUUCUGAACAGUUGCUGUGCAGGGGAACUUACAUUAAAGGAAAUUCUGGCUUUUAUUUUCAUAGUUUUGGCCAUAAUUUCUAUCUGUUAUGAGAACAUUGAACUGGCAUACAUACAACAAAGGUCCAUAGGGCCACUGAUAAUCUUACAGAGUGACACCAAAAGCAUAUCCGGGCGGAGGGGUUAUGCAUUUAUUAUCUUCUUUAACAAAUUUCAGUCCUUCCAGGAUUUCACAGGAUGGUUGUGGCCUAAAAUGCCUGAUUUUACAGCAGCUUUUCUUAGAAAUUGCGAUGUGUAUUACGAUGUUUGAAAGCUUGUUCUAGUUCAGGUGAGAAUAAAAAUGCAAUUUUCCUUGCACGUCUCUGCAUCUUCAUUACUAGAAAGGAAGAAGUGAGUUUGGUGAUGUAUGCAGGGUUCC
Molecule: long non-coding RNA, 1418 nt
Filed under: Dicentrarchus labrax (European seabass)
Lineage: Eukaryota; Metazoa; Chordata; Actinopteri; Moronidae
Description: lncRNA (ENSDLAG00005035046.1)
Source: RNAcentral